UUUAAUCCACUAGACCAUAUUUUUUCUUUUUCUUUUCUCUUUUUUUU
This 47-nucleotide small RNA is filed under the name Arabidopsis thaliana (thale cress). RNAcentral describes it as "ATSL291430". Lineage: Eukaryota; Viridiplantae; Streptophyta; Magnoliopsida; Brassicales; Brassicaceae. The record is from RNAcentral.